RNAcentral lists this ribosomal RNA (274 nucleotides) under uncultured bacterium. Its description in RNAcentral is "partial 16S ribosomal RNA". It matches the Rfam family "Bacterial small subunit ribosomal RNA", at positions 523 to 796 of the family's 1533-position model. The record is from RNAcentral.
AUACGGAGGGUGCAAGCGUUAUCCGGAUUCAUUGGGUUUAAAGGGUACGUAGGCGGAUAGAUAAGUUAGUGGUGAAAUCCCGAAGCUCAACUUCGGAACUACCAUUAAAACUGUCUAUCUUGAAUUUGGUUGAAGUGGGCGGAAUAUGACAUGUAGCGGUGAAAUGCAUAGAUAUGUCAUGGAACACCGAUAGUGAAGACAGCUCACUAAGCCAAUAUUGACGCUGAGGUACGAAAGCAUGGGUAGCGAACAGGAUUAGAUACCCUAGUAGUCC